This is a long non-coding RNA of Mirounga angustirostris (Northern elephant seal), 778 nucleotides long. RefSeq lists it as uncharacterized. Lineage: Eukaryota; Metazoa; Chordata; Mammalia; Carnivora; Phocidae. The transcript has 5 exons. The record is from RefSeq and is a predicted model, not a curated record.
CGUACCCUCCCGCGCUGGAUCCCUGGGCUCGGGGUGACUUGCAGGUCCACCGUACGCGAAGUUUCGGGGAGAUUUUAUUUAUCCAUUUGUUAGGAGAGAGAGAGUGAGCGCACACAAGCAGGGGGAGCAGCAGGCAGAGGGAGAAGCAGACUCCCCGCUGAGCAAGGAGCCUGAGGGACUCAAUCCCAGGACCCUGGGAUUGCGACCUGAGCCGAAGGCAGACACUUAACGGACUGAGCCACUCACUUCUGCAGAGUCCCUUUUGCCGGGGAAUCAAACCAGGUUAUUUUUGUUCAUGAGAUGGUGAAAUACACUGAAUGUAGCGAAGGGAAAAAAGCGUGAAAGAGAGAGAAUGCCUGCUGCUUCUGCUGGGAUCCUCGCUGGCUGUUCCGGAGUGUUCCGUGGAAAGCACUUAGAUAUUCAGAACAAAGGGUAAGAAAACUGAGCCUCAGAGAGGGGAGGUGACAUGCUCAAAGUCACUGGAGCUAUGGGCAGAGCUGCGAUUCUGCCCCUGGUGGUCUCAUGGGGUCAUGUGGACAAAGACUCACAUUAUGAAUUGCCUCCCUGGAGAAACCAACCCCUCCUCCCCCAAAAAAGGCCUUGAUCCAAUAAACCAACUUUUAACGGAGCAGCAUCUUUCAAUCGAAGGACGAUGGCAACUUAUCUCUGGGUCCCAGCUCUGUAGUGACACGAAUUCUCUGAGCUGCCCAAUCUCACUCAAGGUUAGUAAUUAAGGCAUAAUUGAAAUGAAAUUAAUUGCAAUAAAUGUGUAAUUAGC